UACGUAGGGUGCGAGCGUUGUCCGGAAUUACUGGGCGUAGAGAGCUCGUAGGUGGUUUGUCACGUCGUCUGUGAAAUUCCGGGGCUUAACCUCGGGCGUGCAGGCGAUACGGGCAAUACUUGAGUGCUGUAGGGGAGACUGGAAUUCCUGGUGUAGCGGUGAAAUGCGCAGAUAUCAGGAGGAACACCAAUGGCGAAGGCAGGUCUCUGGGCAGUUACUGACGCUGAGGAGCGAAAGCAUGGGUAGCGAACAGGAUUA
This 258-nucleotide ribosomal RNA is filed under the name uncultured prokaryote. RNAcentral's name for it is "partial 16S ribosomal RNA". It matches the Rfam family "Bacterial small subunit ribosomal RNA", at positions 524 to 780 of the family's 1533-position model. The record is from RNAcentral.